RNAcentral lists this ribosomal RNA (1445 nucleotides) under metagenome. RNAcentral's name for it is "bacterial SSU rRNA". It matches the Rfam family "Bacterial small subunit ribosomal RNA". The record is from RNAcentral.
CGAACGGUAACAGGAAGCAGCUUGCUGCUUCGCUGACGAGUGGCGGACGGGUGAGUAAUGUCUGGGAAGCUGCCUGAUGGAGGGGGAUAACUACUGGAAACGGUAGCUAAUACCGCAUAAUGUCGCAAGACCAAAGAGGGGGACCUUCGGGCCUCUUGCCAUCGGAUGUGCCCAGAUGGGAUUAGCUUGUUGGUGGGGUAACGGCUCACCAAGGCGACGAUCCCUAGCUGGUCUGAGAGGAUGACCAGCCACACUGGAACUGAGACACGGUCCAGACUCCUACGGGAGGCAGCAGUGGGGAAUAUUGCACAAUGGGCGCAAGCCUGAUGCAGCCAUGCCGCGUGUAUGAAGAAGGCCUUCGGGUUGUAAAGUACUUUCAGCGGGGAGGAAGGGAGUAAAGUUAAUACCUUUGCUCAUUGACGUUACCCGCAGAAGAAGCACCGGCUAACUCCGUGCCAGCAGCCGCGGUAAUACGGAGGGUGCAAGCGUUAAUCGGAAUUACUGGGCGUAAAGCGCACGCAGGCGGUUUGUUAAGCCAGAUGUGAAAUCCCCGGGCUCAACCUGGGAACUGCAUCUGAUACUGGCAAGCUUGAGUCUCGUAGAGGGGGGUAGAAUUCCAGGUGCAGCGGUGAAAUGCGUAGAGAUCUGGAGGAAUACCGGUGGCGAAGGCGGCCCCCUGGACGAAGACUGACGCUCAGGUGCGAAAGCGUGGGGAGCAAACAGGAUUAGAUACCCUGGUAGUCCACGCCGUAAACGAUGUCGACUUGGAGGUUGUGCCCUUGAGGCGUGGCUUCCGGAGCUAACGCGUUAAGUCGACCGCCUGGGGAGUACGGCCGCAAGGUUAAAACUCAAAUGAAUUGACGGGGGCCCGCACAAGCGGUGGAGCAUGUGGUUUAAUUCGAUGCAACGCGAAGAACCUUACCUGGUCUUGACAUCCACGGAAGUUUUCAGAGAUGAGAAUGUGCCUUCGGGAACCGUGAGACAGGUGCUGCAUGGCUGUCGUCAGCUCGUGUUGUGAAAUGUUGGGUUAAGUCCCGCAACGAGCGCAACCCUUAUCCUUUGUUGCCAGCGGUCCGGCCGGGAACUCAAAGGAGACUGCCAGUGAUAAACUGGAGGAAGGUGGGGAUGACGUCAAGUCAUCAUGGCCCUUACGACCAGGGCUACACACGUGCUACAAUGGCGCAUACAAAGAGAAGCGACCUCGCGAGAGCAAGCGGACCUCAUAAAGUGCGUCGUAGUCCGGAUUGGAGUCUGCAACUCGACUCCAUGAAGUCGGAAUCGCUAGUAAUCGUGGAUCAGAAUGCCACGGUGAAUACGUUCCCGGGCCUUGUACACACCGCCCGUCACACCAUGGGAGUGGGUUGCAAAAGAAGUAGGUAGCUUAACCUUCGGGAGGGCGCUUACCACUUUGUGAUUCAUGACUGGGGUGAAGUCGGAACAAGGUA